RNAcentral lists this ribosomal RNA (432 nucleotides) under uncultured bacterium. Its description in RNAcentral is "partial 16S ribosomal RNA". It matches the Rfam family "Bacterial small subunit ribosomal RNA", at positions 29 to 507 of the family's 1533-position model. The record is from RNAcentral.
ACGCACGCUGGCGGCAUGCCUAACACCUGCCAGUCGCACGAGACCUUCGGGUCUAGUGGCGCACGGGUGCGUAACGCGUGGGAACCUGCCCUUAGGUUCGGAAUAACUCCCCGAAAGGGGUGCUAAUACCGGAUAAUGUCUUCGGACCAAAGAUUUAUCGCCUUUGGAUGGGCCCGCGUUGGAUUAGCUAGUUGGUAGGGUAAAAGCCUACCAAGGCGACGAUCCAUAGCUGGUCUGAGAGGAUGAUCAGCCACACUGGGACUGAGACACGGCCCAGACUCCUACGGGAGGCAGCAGUGGGGAAUAUUGGACAAUGGGCGAAAGCCUGAUCCAGCAAUGCCGCGUGAGCGAUGAAGGCCUUAGGGUUGUAAAGCUCUUUUACCCGGGAUGAUAAUGACAGUACCGGGAGAAUAAGCUCCGGCUAACUCCGUG